GGUUUGGGGGGUGGGUAGGGUUAGCGUAUGGGUUUUUAGCUCUGUGGCUCAGAAGAUCUUUAUUUAGCCUUCAAAAGUGUUAACUCCUGGGAAUCCUGGUUAAAACAUUGGCAUUUGAAGGUCAUGUCAGUGCACUGAUCCUGGCUUGAAGCUUUUUUGUGCCCUUGAAUGGAGUGAGGACUUAGUGACUGGAACCAUUUGGCAACACCACAAAUGACCAAGAAGAAGGACUUUAAGAAGACUGCAUUAGGACAACGUGACUGCAGAGAGGCCACCCACAGCUCUAAAUGUGCCUACCGAGAGGAAAAAUAAAUGGCUGAGCUCCUGGCCAGACGCAUAUGCGCGAAGCAUAUCCAUGAGGAGGAGCUGUUUGGAAAAAAACAUUCCGAUCCUGCAGAGACAUUGCCGUUGAACUGGGCUGGGG
This is a long non-coding RNA of Alligator sinensis (Chinese alligator), 424 nucleotides long. RefSeq lists it as uncharacterized. The transcript has 4 exons. NCBI's taxonomy places the organism in Eukaryota, Metazoa, Chordata, Crocodylia, Alligatoridae. The record is from RefSeq and is a predicted model, not a curated record.